UGGUGGACGACGGCGAGGCGCUCCCUCCUCCCCAACGGCCACAUGGACGGCAUCCACCCCUCCGAUGAGGAGGAGCGGCGCCGUCGCUGACCGCAGCCGCCGACGAGGUGGAGCGCCAGAUCCAGGCUAGGCCGGCUCACCGGUGAUGCGGCCAGAUCUGGAAAGGGGAGGGGGAGGAGUAGUGCAGCAGCAGCAGCAGCGAGGUGGCGAGGUGGAGCAGCAGGGGGCGACGGCUUGGAGGCGAGGCUGAAGCAGAAAGGGGCGACGGCGCUUGUGCAUCUGGGUUGUGGCGGCGUGGAGGAGAACACCGAGCGAUGGUUUUAGCUACUGCCUCGUGUGCUGCCUCCUCACCUAACGCAGGCACUAAAUGGGCCACAAGGCCACCUGGGUCUUAGCCCAGAUUUGCUGUUUUUUUAAUUAAGUCCCUAGGAUUUUAAUUAUUAACAAUAUUUCUAGUCUAUGUGAUGUAUCUAGUCAGUUUAGUCCUAGUAUUUUACUGUAUUUGUGUAAGAAAUAGUUCAGUGUUGCACACUUUAAAUUCCUAAAUAUGUAUUAGGAUUUAUAAACCAUAUUAUGUCCAUUGUAUAUGUACUCCUGUGCAUUUCACUAUGAUAUAAUAUAUUGUUCAAUA
This 631-nucleotide long non-coding RNA is filed under the name Oryza brachyantha (malo sina). RNAcentral's name for it is "long non-coding RNA (OBRA_LNC002838)". Lineage: Eukaryota; Viridiplantae; Streptophyta; Magnoliopsida; Poales; Poaceae. The record is from RNAcentral.